CAAAAGAUAAAACAUAUCAUAAAAUUCUCCCCCUUUUCUAUUUCUCUCUGGCAUUCUCUCACUCUGCCUCCCCUCUCUCGAUGAUCUCUCUAACUCUCUCUCCCCGCUGCCCUACCUCCCACCAUAUCCCUCUUUCAUCUCUCCAUCUCUAACCAUCUCCCUCUUUAAUCUCUCUCUAUCUCACUAUCUCACCGUACGUCGAUCGAAUCGAAGGAGUAAAAGCAGCCGCUUUUAAAGACUCCAUUUUAAUUGAAGACCCAUCUUGGAGAAAUACACCUCCGAAGUAAGAAAGGCAGCUUCAAUUCGCAGCUCGAUUGGUUCGAUUGAAUUUCUGGUUUUCAAUUUGUUCAAUUGGGGUUUGGGGUUUCCGGUCACAGCUUCAUUUCUCGGUCUCCAUCUUGAAGAUAUGCAGAUCUUCUUGUUUAAGUUUCAGAAAGCAAAGAGAGUUAUAUACAGAACUAUGCCCUUCUUGUUGGACUAUAGACUUCAAGAACUGUGCCCUUCUAUGUUAAAUUUUAUUGCUAAGGUGGGAUAGGAAGCAAACCAGGAGUUUCUAGUUUGUUAUCGGAGGCACAACUCUAUGUUUAGCUUGAUCUCUCCGUUCUAAGUUGCAACAUGCUGUGCGACAAAGGAGGCUGCAAAGACACACAAUGCAACUUAUUUUGAGGAUGAAAUUAAUGAAGUGUGACUUGAGACUUUCAGCUACAUUGAAACUUCAUGUAAAAGCGAUAUUAGUUGGUUUUGAUUUUAGUAGAAACUACAUUGAAGCAAUAUAUCUUUUGGUAAUUUAUAACUUGGAAAUUUAUUAUAUUAUUAUUCUAGUAUUGUGCACAUCAGGAUGUGCUUUAGACAUCAAUGACAAAAACAUUGCUUAAGAAAAAUUAGGCUCCAAUAACUGAUGUUAUAUAUCUUAAUAACAUUGGUUGGUUUAUUCAGUAA
Molecule: long non-coding RNA, 939 nt
Organism: Daucus carota subsp. sativus
Lineage: Eukaryota; Viridiplantae; Streptophyta; Magnoliopsida; Apiales; Apiaceae
Exons: 5
Source: RefSeq, a predicted model, not a curated record